RNAcentral lists this ribosomal RNA (467 nucleotides) under uncultured bacterium. RNAcentral describes it as "partial 16S ribosomal RNA". It matches the Rfam family "Bacterial small subunit ribosomal RNA", at positions 28 to 507 of the family's 1533-position model. The record is from RNAcentral.
GACGAACGCUGGCGGCGUGCUUAACACAUGCAAGUCGAACGGAAAGGCCCUGCUUUUGUGGGGUGCUCGAGUGGCGAACGGGUGAGUAACACGUGAGUAACCUGCCCUUGACUUUGGGAUAACUUCAGGAAACUGGGGCUAAUACCGGAUAGGAGCUCCUGCUGCAUGGUGGGGGUUGGAAAGUUUCGGCGGUUGGGGAUGGACUCGCGGCUUAUCAGCUUGUUGGUGGGGUAGUGGCUUACCAAGGCUUUGACGGGUAGCCGGCCUGAGAGGGUGACCGGCACCAUGGGACUGAAAUGAGGGCCCGACCACCACCGGAAGGCAGCGUGGGGAAUAAUGCACAAUGGGCGGAAGCCUGAUGCAGCAACGCCGCGUGCGGGAUGACGGCCUUCGGGUUGUAAACCGCUUUCGCCUGUGACGAAGCGUGAGUGACGGUAAUGGGUAAAGAAGCACCGGCUAACUACGUG